UUUAACUGAAGAGUUUGAUCAUGGCUCAGAUUGAACGCUGGCGGCAGGCUUAACACAUGCAAGUCGAGCGGGGGAAGGUAGCUUGCUACCGGACCUAGCGGCGGACGGGUGAGUAAUGCUUAGGAAUCUGCCUAUUAGUGGGGGACAACAUCUCGAAAGGGAUGCUAAUACCGCAUACGUCCUACGGGAGAAAGCAGGGGAUCUUCGGACCUUGCGCUAAUAGAUGAGCCUAAGUCGGAUUAGCUAGUUGGUGGGGUAAAGGCCUACCAAGGCGACGAUCUGUAGCGGGUCUGAGAGGAUGAUCCGCCACACUGGGACUGAGACACGGCCCAGACUCCUACGGAGGCAGCAGUGGGGAAUAUUGGACAAUGGGGAACCCUGAUCCAGCCAUGCCGCGUGUGUGAAGAAGGCCUUAUGGUUGUAAAGCACUUUAAGCGAGGAGGAGGCUACUUUAGUUAAUACCUAGAGAUAGUGGACGUUACUCGCAGAAUAAGCACCGGCUAACUCUGUGCCAGCAGCCGCGGUAAUACAGAGGGUGCGAGCGUUAAUCGGAUUUACUGGGCGUAAAGCGUGCGUAGGCGGCUUAUUAAGUCGGAUGUGAAAUCCCCGAGCUUAACUUGGGAAUUGCAUUCGAUACUGGUGAGCUAGAGUAUGGGAGAGGAUGGUAGAAUUCCAGGUGUAGCGGUGAAAUGCGUAGAGAUCUGGAGGAAUACCGAUGGCGAAGGCAGCCAUCUGGCCUAAUACUGACGCUGAGGUACGAAAGCAUGGGGAGCAAACAGGAUUAGAUACCCUGGUAGUCCAUGCCGUAAACGAUGUCUACUAGCCGUUGGGGCCUUUGAGGCUUUAGUGGCGCAGCUAACGCGAUAAGUAGACCGCCUGGGGAGUACGGUCGCAAGACUAAAACUCAAAUGAAUUGACGGGGGCCCGCACAAGCGGUGGAGCAUGUGGUUUAAUUCGAUGCAACGCGAAGAACCUUACCUGGCCUUGACAUACUAGAAACUUUCCAGAGAUGGAUUGGUGCCUUCGGGAAUCUAGAUACAGGUGCUGCAUGGCUGUCGUCAGCUCGUGUCGUGAGAUGUUGGGUUAAGUCCCGCAACGAGCGCAACCCUUUUCCUUACUUGCCAGCAUUUCGGAUGGGAACUUUAAGGAUACUGCCAGUGACAAACUGGAGGAAGGCGGGGACGACGUCAAGUCAUCAUGGCCCUUACGGCCAGGGCUACACACGUGCUACAAUGGUCGGUACAAAGGGUUGCUACACAGCGAUGUGAUGCUAAUCUCAAAAAGCCGAUCGUAGUCCGGAUUGAGUCUGCAACUCGACUCCAUGAAGUCGGAAUCGCUAGUAAUCGCGGAUCAGAAUGCCGCGGUGAAUACGUUCCCGGGCCUUGUACACACCGCCCGUCACACCAUGGGAGUUUGUUGCACCAGAAGUAGCUAGCCUAACUGCAAAGAGGGCGGUUACCACGGUGUGGCCGAUGACUGGGGUGAAGUCGUAACAAGGUAGCCGUAGGGGAACCUGCGGCUGGAUCACCUCCUUAA
Molecule: ribosomal RNA, 1536 nt
Filed under: Acinetobacter baumannii
Lineage: Bacteria; Pseudomonadati; Pseudomonadota; Gammaproteobacteria; Moraxellales; Moraxellaceae
Description: bacterial SSU rRNA
Rfam family: Bacterial small subunit ribosomal RNA
Source: RNAcentral